This 6218-nucleotide small RNA is filed under the name Pyricularia oryzae. Its description in RNAcentral is "Magnaporthe oryzae sRNA M_BR32_EuGene_00144671". The record is from RNAcentral. Lineage: Eukaryota; Fungi; Ascomycota; Sordariomycetes; Magnaporthales; Pyriculariaceae.
UUUAUUAUCCCGUAUAUUUUAUUAACCAAAACGUUGCGUAUAACGCGUUUGCAUUUUGUUAAUAACCAGUGCAAAAUAUUGCCUUAUAUUUUAAAGGAGUUAUUUCCUUCACGGCCGUUUUCGUUGCCGAAGAUUAUUACGUAUCCGAUUUGUAAAUUCAAAUCCUCCAAAUUGGCAAACGAUCCGUUAACAAACACGUAUAUUUUUGCAAUGUUCAAAUUUAGGGGUAUAUAUAUUAACCCCCUUUGGUUAUUUUCGAUCUACCAUUAUAUUCGUUUAUUAAACCUUUCGAUCUCUGUAUCGGUUGGAUCUAUUAUUUGUGCUACCACGGAUAGGUCAAACGCUGUUUCUGGUUGGUAUAUAGUGGUAAUGUAAGCCCCUUUGGUUCGUUAUACCACGUAUUGCUAAUUGCGAUUUGGUGACUUCGGGUUUAUUAGUUCCAGGCGAUUUGUUUGCCCCUUUUAUUAUAUAUGCACGACGCCCUUUUUUAAUGUAAUUUUGCAGCCGUUAAAAUUUUUUGUAUUCCUUUCCCCCAUAAUUUUCUGUGGUUUGGUAAGGAGGGCCGUUCGUUGGAAUUUUGUUUUUUCGGUUGCAAUAAAUUUUGGAUUACCCAGAUUUAGUGUAUCGUCGGUUUGCAACCCAACGAGGCCGAAAGGUCCGCUUUUUAUAAUUAGCAAACAGGCGUUAUAUUUUGAAAUUGCACAGUUUAAUCGCUUUUUGUGGUGACGUUGGUAGAUAUUAAACCAAUGCAAUCCAAUUCCGUUAAACCGUAUAAUGGUUUGUUUACCUUCAAAUACGUGCCUUUUGGGUAUUUGUGUUAAAAUUCCUUUGGUAUCCGUACUAAUACGUCCCUUACGAACUAAUUUUUUAAUUAAAUGUACGCCUGGCUAAUAUUACGGAUUAUAAAUUUGUAUCCGUUUUGUGCCAUUAGAUUUGGUGCGAUCGAAAGGAUUAGGCGUUAAUUGCACCGUAUAAUCGUUAAUACCUGCGUUAACAGGUUUUUUUUUUCGUUAUUACUAUAACCCUAUAUAAUAAGGCGAGAUUUUUCGUAGGGCCGGUCCGCCGUCCCUUUAACCUUUCGUACCAUUUUAACACCAAAAAUCCGGCUACGUGCGUUUUCCCCGUGUACCGGUUGUAGCAUUUCCGCGCCCAGCAACGCCUCGAUUUCGGUUGCAUUUAAUUGUUCGAAUGGAGCACCUGGGGUAAUAAUUUUACCCUUUGUUUUAUAUUUUAAUAUUAAUUUGUAUAAUUGGGUCUCUUUAUUUAAUAUUAACGUGUUAAAAUGUGCCUUAGGUUUCCGUUUCCGGCCAUUGCGGCGCUGUUCGUUAUAAUUUCCGGCCAUUUUUAUAGUAAAAUUUUCCUUUUCUGCGGUAGGCUUUCCUUUAACCGGUUCCGGCCCGGUUUUUGUAUUUUUUCCCGUAAAUGGUGGGUAUUAUAUUUCUCCGGGCGGAUCCGUUAUUUGUGGUUGUAAUUGCUCGAUCGGCUUUUUCGGAAUUGUUUUUGGCCGUCCCCUUUUGCGUGGUUUUGGCUCCUUUGGGUAAACAAAAUUAUUUUGAUUUUCCAAUGGUUUAUCCGGUUAUUUUUGGUAUUUGUAAUACGGUUUUACGUAAAUAUUUUUAAAUUUAAAAUUGCCGUUUGGGAGCGUUAUUGUAACGUUAUUUUCGGUUACGCAAACGAUUUUAUAUGGUCCAUUCCAAUUGCCUUUUUUUCUAUAUACCAACACCUCGCUGCCCAAAAUUAAUAUAAUUAAUAGGCGGUCCUUUAAAUCAGGACCGUUUUUUGCAACCAAUGCGUCGUUUACCUUCCUUUUUGCCGUAAAUUUCCUAAAUUUUGCCAUUACCUUAUUUACCGUUCCUGCGCGUUUUGUUUAUAUUGGUAUUGGAGGUAAAUCCAUGGUAAAUUUGGGUAAUGCACCAAAAAUUAGAAAUGUGGGGAUUAAACCGUCCGGACCUGCGGUAUCGUUUACCGUUUUUACCGCUGCCUGUAGGAUUGGUUUUUGCGAAUAUUCCGUACCGCAUUCGUCCCGGAUAAUUUCGUAUGUUCGUCUCAGGGGUGUAUAAAACCUUUCGAUUUUUCCAAUUACCCAGUGGGCCUUAACAGGCAUUUGGUUGCAGGUAAUACCUAAUAACCGUACCUUUGCGUGGAAUUCCGUUACCCUAAAAUUGGGCCCCGGGUCGAACGUUAAUACGUUAGGCGGUCCCAAAUACGUAUCGAUCCAGCAUUAUUUUAACGUUUCCUAGAUUUUUUUGGCUAAUAUAUCCGUUAAAAACCGUGCUGCCUGGUAUAAUAUAUUCGCAUCGAUCGCAUGGAAAAUUGGCCGACCAUCCAAAUAUACCACGUCUAUAAUUAUUUCGUAAUUGAAAUCGAUAUUUUCCUUUAGGGCAAAUUUAAAGCGUUAAGGUAUUUUACCCUUUUUCUGGCAAAAAUGGCAGAUUUUGUUAAUUAUUUAUAUAACCUCCAAAUUUGCAUUUUCACCUGCCCGUUGCAGCAAUUUCCAUAGUUUAUCAAUUGACGGGUGGCCGAAUUUCCGGUAUAUUCGCUUUAAUUCUCUUUCGGUGAAAAAUGCUCCCGGGAUUUCCGGUUCCGUAAAAAACGUAAUCCCGGGCCCGGUUAAAUCCAUAUAAAACCACGGAUAACCCUUUUUUUUUCCACGGGUAUUUGUUUCCCAUUUUUACAAACGAUUUCGUUACGUACGUUAUUAUAAUAAACGUAUAACCUAUCCAUAUUUUUCAAAUAUAUUAAAAACGGUGUAUUUGUUUCCAUAAUAUGGAACGUAAUCGUUCCGAUAAAUGUAAGGAUUACAGCCGUUCCCAAAAAAAUUGCCACGUUGUUUUAACCAAAACGCACACGUGCCUUUCCGGCACGGUUUUAAUUAAAAGUUAAUUCCGGGUUAUGGCGUUUUAAAGCAACAAAUUGCCUAAAACCGGCGGUAAAAUGCUCCGUUACCCCUAUAUCCGGUAAAAAACCCUCCCAUUCCAAAUUUUUUUGCAUGAACGUUUAAUCGAUUUAAUUACCUUAUACCUUUUCCGGUUAAUCCGAGGUGGCAAAUAAUUUGUAUAUAAACGAUUCGUUUGCCAAAAAUUGUGUAUUUUGGGCGGUUAUAAAAUGGUUCGUUACCUCUAAAUCCUCGUAAAAAAAUUCCUCUAAAUCCGCCUUUAAUAGGUCCAUUUCGUUAUUUUCAAAAUUUUCAUUUGGAUUUUCCAUAUUUUGAACGUAGGUUUUAUAAUUUUGGCCGCUUUUGCCACGAUUUCGUUAAUUACGUUUCCACCGUUUUUUUUCAGCUUUCUGCUCCUUUUUCGUAUAUUUCCACGAUUUGCAAUUUCCUUUUUUGCAAAUAUAAUAUAACCCCUUUUUCUGCAUUUUGGUAUUGUAUGCGGUACCAUUGUUUCGGUGCGGAAAUCGGAAGUUUUUUUUUUUUUGGUGGUUGGGCCGCUCGUUGCGAACGGUGGUUUGGUAUUUGCGAUCCACCAAAAACUGCCCGCGUAUUUGUGGCUUAUAUUUAAUGGCCAUAAACCGGCGCAAUUAACUGCACAAUUCCUCGAACGAUUUCCGGCGUAUAUUUACAAAUGCCAAUUUUAGCUCCGGCACCCCUUAUAUGGCCCGGAUUGUAUUAUUUACGAAUUAAUAUUUAAACUGGUAAUUUGCUCCCAUAGUUUUUUGGCAUUGUUGCAAUUUAUCGAAAAGGAAUUUUAAAAUUUGUUUUGGAAUUUUGGUUGCAUUUUUAACCUUUUCCCGUAUAGUGUAAAACGUUAUCGAAUUCCAAUUUAAAUGGUAUUAUUGGCGGAUAAAAUCGGUAUUAAAACGUUUUUUAAAACGUAGGUACAUUUCCCUAAAAAUCAUGUCUCUUCCCACGUAAAUUUAAAAAUAAUCGUUUAUUUUGCCUUUUAAAAUAAACGGGAAUAUUGCGUACAUUUGGGCAAUUUCGAUCUGCAUUAUUUGGCAAAUGUUUGUAAAAUUAAAUAUUUUUUUAUCCAGGAAAUCGUAUGGAUUUCCUAAAUAAUUGUUAUCCUUUUCCCAUACCUAUAUAAAAAUCUUUAACGUGGUAAACGGGAACGUUUUAUUGGGUGUUUAUAUAGGCGGUAGAAUCCUAUAUGCAGAAAUAUUUUGUACCAUGGGACGGUUAUAUAUUUAAUAAGGAUUGUACGCGUAUGGUAACUCUCGUUAAACAUUUGCUCUUUCAUUUUAACGUUCCCUUUUAUAUUUUUCGUUAUAUUCCCUGGGCACCCCAAACGUCUGUUCGUUAAAAACAGCUAAUUGGUGCGUUGCCUGGUUAUUGCGUAAUUUGAAGGCGUGAAAUGUUAUUGCUAUUGGGUUUCGCCCCUAAAAACCGCCCCGUAUUUCGUAAUAGGUGUUUUGUAUGGGUUGAGGUAAAUAAAUUCGAUCCCCUUUACCCUUUAUUACCUGCUCGGUACAAUUUCUGUUUUUGUACACCACCUUUUUUUGAUCCUCGAUUACCUCGAUUAUAACUUUCACCAAUCUUUUCGACGUUUUUGUAUUCGCGUUACCGGGUAUAAUUACGCCGGCGUUUUGGAAAUAGUUUUUUAACGCACGCAAAAGCGUUUUGUUGCACCCUUUAAAAUCAUCCUCUUUCCAGCCUAAAAACUCUUUUAUAUAAUAUUCCAACAGGCGUUCCCCUAAUUUUGGUUUUGUUGGCCUGUUAAAGUCGCAUAUUACACGCAUAAUCCACGCGUUUUUUUGGCCUGUUAUCCCUAAUUUUGGAUGUUUUGCCAAUUUUAUUAUAUUAUCCUUUAGGGCGUUUAUAUCGAUUUCCCUUCGGUUCUUUGGUUUAAUCCCAAACGUAUUAAAUAUGCGGUAAAAAAACUCGUUCUCGUUUUUGUUUUCGAAUAUGCGUUACCUCGGUAUCGUUAUUAAUACCUGUGGCUUUGCAUCUUGGUUUAAUUCGUCGUCUUCCGUCAUAGCGUUUUCUUCAAUGCAAAAAUAUCGUUACGGAAUAUUUUCGUUUGUAAUUAGCGGUAUAGUCCAAAUGGUGAGUAAUUUUUCAAUUUUAGGCCGGAAUGAUCCAAUCGGUGCUUUGGGAGUUUACGUAACAAUUAUCUACAGAUUUUAAACGUUUUAUAUAUACGGUGUCUGUAGGCCGUUACAAUAUUUUCGUUGCUAGCCCGGUUUUAAACAGCGUUGGCUGGGAAUAUUAGCAAUUCCAAUACUUUUAUUUAGUUUAUUUGUAUUGCCUAUAUUAACAACAUUAAUUAGUAUUAAUAGGAAUUAUAUAAUCGCUGCGAUCGGUAAAACAAUAUAACAAACAAAAUCGGUAUUUUUAUACAUGGUAACUAGCUAACUGUAACUAUUUACGCGGUUGCAUAAAUCUGUUAAAGAUUCUGCGACGUGUUCCGAGAUCACGUGGUUUGCAACGUGAUCUCUCCACACGCAUGUCUGGCCGUGAAUUAACAGUGUCCAUAGUUUUCCCAUUUAAUAAGUUAUUCUGUUUUGCCGUAGUUUCGUCUAUGGUCGAAUAUUCGUUCGACUUCGUAGAUUUGUUCUGCGUCGAUCUCGAUUAUUUUUCGUAUAUUUGUGCCGUGCGGUGCUGGUUCCAGUAAUAAUACGUGAAACGUGGGGUGGAUUUUUAUGGUAUUUGGUAAUAACAGUCUGUAAUUGGUAUCGCUGAUUUUUUUACUGAUUUUGAAAGGUCCAAGCUUUUUAAAAUCGAAUUUGCUGUUUGGUCGCUAUGUUUUAAUAUUGCGUCGAAUAAAAUAAACGUUAUUUCCCUUUUUAAAGGAUGGUCCCUUUAUCCGAUGCUGAUUGGCGUAUUUUAUUAUUUUUUUUCGUACGAAUUCUAAUUCCCGCUGGAGUUUUUGGUAUAAUUUUCGUAAUUUAUUUGUUUAUUUGUCGGUUUGUGGUGCCGUGGUCGUUGUUUUGGGUUUUUUAUACGCUGUAGGGUUAAAUCCAUAAUUGGCGUAAAACAGGGUUGUUUUGGUAUUUUCGUUUUUUGAAUUGUUAUAGGCGAAUUAUGCUGUGGGUAAUAACCGUACCCAAUUAUCUUAUUUGUGGUUUAUAUAGCAUUUUAGGUAUUGUUCGAAUAUUUGGUUAGUUCGUUUUGUUUAUCCGUUUGUUUGUGGGUAAAAUGCUGUUAAUAAUUUGUGGUCUGUGACUAGUUGUUCCAUUAAAAAUUUCCAAAAUUUUAAUAUAAAAAGUUUGUUUCGGUUUAUAAUAAUAUUUUUAGGAAGUCCGUAAUUAUUAACAAUUAUUUGUAGAAAUAUAUA